Molecule: transfer RNA, 72 nt
Filed under: Acropora cervicornis
Lineage: Eukaryota; Metazoa; Cnidaria; Anthozoa; Scleractinia; Acroporidae
Description: tRNA-Ser
Rfam family: tRNA
About the family: Transfer RNA (tRNA) molecules are approximately 80 nucleotides in length.
Source: RNAcentral
GGCUUCAUAGCUCAGUUGGUGGAAAAUCGCAGCGGGAUAGCGGAAUCACGGGUUCGACUCCCGUUGAAGCCC